GACAACAUACACAGAAACUGUUCCGACAGCAUAGAAAAGAUUCUGAAAUAGGGAUGCUCUCUUGUCAUGUUAACAACACUCCAAAAUUGCCCCAAAGCAUAAGGCCAAAAGAAGCAAGGAAAAUCACCUACCCCCACUGCCCCCCUACAUGCAAGCUAAAGAAAAACACUGAUUUUUAAGAACAAUAUCUCCUUCACUCAUACCCAAGAAUAAAACUAAAAUUGGCUCCUUGCCAUUCCUUCACAUAAUUGCACGAGCUUGUUCAAAUUUGAGGAAAUAGACCCCUGAAAUCAGGCUAUUAUCAAAGGAUAUAUUUCUAUCAAAGAUUUCUUUAAGACAAAUUUGGGUUAACUGACUACUGGGCUGGUGAAAAGUGGAUGCAACUUGGUGAAAUUCAUCUCUAGACUGGUUUACAGAGAAAAAUGAGAACAUUGUACAAAUGCACUAGUAUAGAUUGGUGAUAAAACCUAUCAAAGAAAAAAUGUGGCAAUGACACGACGUAUGUAAUUGACUUGAUCACGCUCAAAAUUGCGGCAGAUGUCAGGGAUGAAAUGGCAAUAGAGACAGAAGGGAUAUUAAGAAAAUUCAGAGGCCGUUAAAAGAACAGUUUAUAAAACAAUCUAAAGCUUGGAGACAAUCAAUACUGAGCAAACAAUAAGCAAUGUUCUACGCAAACUACCAACGCUUAUCAUAAGCCAGAAGUAAAGAUUUUUAAUUUUUUUUUCUUUAAAAUCUGAAACAAUUCAAUUUAUACCAUCUUAGCCCAAGAGUUCUGCCAAUUAUUUUAAAUCAUUUAUACUUAUCCACAAAAAAUGGUUCUACAGACUACACAUUCAUAGUAACAAAUGAUCUCAGCUUCCUUCACCGAGUAAUUAUAGCACCAAUAUCUUUUCAUUAAUGUAGAGGCUAUAGUAACUACUAGAAGAUUCUGAGUACCUUAUGUCAAACUCUUCCGACUU
This 959-nucleotide unclassified non-coding RNA is filed under the name Hevea brasiliensis (rubber tree). The record is from RNAcentral. Lineage: Eukaryota; Viridiplantae; Streptophyta; Magnoliopsida; Malpighiales; Euphorbiaceae.